CGUGGGCAACCUACCUUAUAGUUUGGGAUAACUCCGGGAAACCGGGGCUAAUACCGAAUAAUCUAUUUUACUUCAUGGUGAAAUACUGAAAGACGGUUUCGGCUGUCGCUAUAAGAUGGGCCCGCGGCGCAUUAGCUAGUUGGUGAGGUAACGGCUCACCAAGGCGACGAUGCGUAGCCGACCUGAGAGGGUGAUCGGCCACACUGGGACUGAGACACGGCCCAGACUCCUACGGGAGGCAGCAGUAGGGAAUCUUCCACAAUGGGCGAAAGCCUGAUGGAGCAACGCCGCGUGAGUGAAGAAGGUUUUCGGAUCGUAAAACUCUGUUGUAAGGGAAGAACAAGUACAGUAGUAACUGGCUGUACCUUGACGGUACCUUAUUAGAAAGCCACGGCUAACUACGUGCCAGCAGCCGCGGUAAUACGUAGGUGGCAAGCGUUGUCCGGAAUUAUUGGGCGUAAAGCGCGCGCAGGCGGUCCUUUAAGUCUGAUGUGAAAGCCCACGGCUCAACCGUGGAGGGUCAUUGGAAACUGGGGGACUUGAGUGCAGAAGAGGAAAGUGGAAUUCCAAGUGUAGCGGUGAAAUGCGUAGAGAUUUGGAGGAACACCAGUGGCGAAGGCGACUUUCUGGUCUGUAACUGACGCUGAGGCGCGAAAGCGUGGGGAGCAAA
RNAcentral lists this ribosomal RNA (670 nucleotides) under Lysinibacillus sp. RNAcentral describes it as "bacterial SSU rRNA". It matches the Rfam family "Bacterial small subunit ribosomal RNA", at positions 116 to 772 of the family's 1533-position model. Lineage: Bacteria; Bacillati; Bacillota; Bacilli; Caryophanales; Bacillaceae. The record is from RNAcentral.